This 469-nucleotide ribosomal RNA is filed under the name uncultured bacterium. Its description in RNAcentral is "bacterial SSU rRNA". It matches the Rfam family "Bacterial small subunit ribosomal RNA", at positions 330 to 794 of the family's 1533-position model. The record is from RNAcentral.
CCCAGACUCCUACGGGAGGCAGCAGUGAGGAAUAUUGGUCAAUGGGCGCGAGCCUGAACCAGCCAAGUCGCGUGAGGGAGGACGGCCCUACGGGUUGUAAACCUCUUUUGCCGGGGAGCAACGGGCGUCACGUGUGGCGCCACUGAGAGUACCCGGAGAAAAAGCAUCGGCUAACUCCGUGCCAGCAGCCGCGGUAAUACGGAGGAUGCGAGCGUUAUCCGGAUUUAUUGGGUUUAAAGGGUGCGUAGGUGGUUAAUUAAGUCAGCGGUGAAAGUUUGUGGCUCAACCAUAAAAUUGCCGUUGAAACUGGUUGACUUGAGUAUAUUUGAGGUAGGCGGAAUGCGUGGUGUAGCGGUGAAAUGCAUAGAUAUCACGCAGAACUCCGAUUGCGAAGGCAGCUUACUAAACGAUAACUGACACUGAAGCACGAAAGCGUGGGGAUCAAACAGGAUUAGAUACCCCAGUACGA